This is a non-coding RNA of Absidia glauca, 72 nucleotides long. The record is from Rfam. Lineage: Eukaryota; Fungi; Mucoromycota; Mucoromycetes; Mucorales; Cunninghamellaceae.
GGAUCAGUGGUGAAGCGGUAACACGCGUUUUUCGGGUGAACGAGAUCCCGGGUUCGAAUCCCGGCUGGUCCC